This 393-nucleotide ribosomal RNA is filed under the name uncultured bacterium. RNAcentral's name for it is "partial 16S ribosomal RNA". It matches the Rfam family "Bacterial small subunit ribosomal RNA", at positions 523 to 918 of the family's 1533-position model. The record is from RNAcentral.
AUACGGAGGAUCCGAGCGUUAUCCGGAUUUAUUGGGUUUAAAGGGUGCGUAGGUGGUUUGAUAAGUCAGCGGUGAAAGUUUGCAGCUUAACUGUAAAAAUGCCGUUGAAACUGUCGGACUUGAGUGUAAAUGAGGUAGGCGGAAUGCGUGGUGUAGCGGUGAAAUGCAUAGAUAUCACGCAGAACUCCGAUUGCGAAGGCAGCUUACUAAGCUACAACUGACACUGAAGCACGAAAGCGUGGGGAUCAAACAGGAUUAGAUACCCUGGUAGUCCACGCAGUAAACGAUGAUUACUAGCUGUUUGCGAUACACAGUAAGCGGCACAGCGAAAGCGUUAAGUAAUCCGCCUGGGGAGUACGCCGGCAACGGUGAAACUCAAAUGAAUUGACGGGG